AUUGAACGCUGGCGGCAGGCCUAACACAUGCAAGUCGAACGAGUGGCGGACGGGUGAGUAAUGUCUGGGAAACUGCCCGAUGGAGGGGGAUCACUACUGGAAACGGUAGCUAAUACCGCAUACCAUCGGAUGUGCCCAUAUGGGAUUAGCUAGUUGGUGGGGUAACGGCUCACCUAGGCGAAGAUCCCUAGCUGGUCUGAGAGGAUGAACAGCCACACUGGAACUGAGACACGGUCCAGACUCCCACGGGAGGCAGCAGUGGGGAAUAUUGCACAAUGGGCGCAAGCCUGAUGCAGCCAUGCCGCGUGGAUGAAGAAGGCCUUCGGGUUGUAAAGGACUUUAAGCGAGGAGGCGUUACUCGCAGAAGAAGCACCGGCUAACUCCGUGCCAGCCGCCGCGGUAAUUU
RNAcentral lists this ribosomal RNA (406 nucleotides) under uncultured bacterium. RNAcentral describes it as "partial 16S ribosomal RNA". It matches the Rfam family "Bacterial small subunit ribosomal RNA", at positions 30 to 526 of the family's 1533-position model. The record is from RNAcentral.